CGUUUCCUCGGCGGGGCCGCCCGCCGAUUGGACAACGUUCAAACCCUUUGCAGUUGCAAGCAGCGUCUGAAAAAACAUAAUAGUUACAACUUUCAACAACGGAUCUCUUGGUUCUGGCAUCGAUGAAGAACGCAGCGAAAUGCGAUAAGUAGUGUGAAUUGCAGAAUUCAGUGAAUCAUCGAAUCUUUGAACGCACAUUGCGCCCCUUGGUAUUCCAUGGGGCAUGCCUGUUCGAGCGUCAUUUGUACCUUCAAGCUCUGCUUGGUGUUGGGUGUUUGUCUCGCCUCUGCGUGUAGACUCGCCUUAAAACAAUUGGCAGCCGGCGUAUUGAUUUCGGAGCGCAGUACAUCUCGCGCUUUGCACUCAUAACGACGACGUCCAAAAGUACAUUUUUACACUCUUGACCUCGGAUCAGGUAGGGAUACCCGCUGAACUUAAGCAUAUCAAUAAGCGGAGGAA
Molecule: unclassified non-coding RNA, 459 nt
Filed under: uncultured Epicoccum
Lineage: Eukaryota; Fungi; Ascomycota; Dothideomycetes; Pleosporales; Leptosphaeriaceae
Description: sequence contains ITS1, 5.8S rRNA gene and ITS2
Rfam family: 5.8S ribosomal RNA (bases 88-241)
Source: RNAcentral